RNAcentral lists this ribosomal RNA (450 nucleotides) under uncultured bacterium. RNAcentral's name for it is "partial 16S ribosomal RNA". It matches the Rfam family "Bacterial small subunit ribosomal RNA", at positions 354 to 796 of the family's 1533-position model. The record is from RNAcentral.
GUGGGGAAUUUUGGACAAUGGGCGCAAGCCUGAUCCAGCAAUGCCGCGUGCAGGAAGAAGGCCUUCGGGUUGUAAACUGCUUUUGUACGGAACGAAACGGUCCUGGUUAAUACCUGGGGCUAAUGACGGUACCGUAAGAAUAAGCACCGGCUAACUACGUGCCAGCAGCCGCGGUAAUACGUAGGGUGCGAGCGUUAAUCGGAAUUACUGGGCGUAAAGCGUGCGCAGGCGGUGCUGUAAGACAGGCGUGAAAUCCCCGGGCGCGACCUGGGAAUUGCGCUUGUGACUGCAGUGCUGGAGUACGGCAGAGGGGGAUGGAAUUCCGCGUGUAGCAGUGAAAUGCGUAGAUAUGCGGAGGAACACCGAUGGCGAAGGCAGUCCCCUGGGCCUGUACUGACGCUCAUGCACGAAAGCGUGGGGAGCAAACAGGAUUAGAAACCCCGGUAGUCC